This is an RNA transcript of Budorcas taxicolor (takin), 3304 nucleotides long. It is a transcript of the gene named progestin and adipoQ receptor family member 3, with no coding region annotated. The transcript has 8 exons. Lineage: Eukaryota; Metazoa; Chordata; Mammalia; Artiodactyla; Bovidae. The record is from RefSeq and is a predicted model, not a curated record.
CUUCGCGCGGCGUCUGCUGGCUCCGGGGCGGGGGCUGCGGCGGCGGCGAAGCCCCCUCCCCAGGGAGGCGGGGCCUGGGUGAGCUCCCCGCUUAGGGAGCAGCGGCGGCCGGGAAGGAUGCAUCAGAAGCUGCUGAAAAGCGCACAUUAUAUCGAGCUGGGCAGCUACCAGUACUGGCCGGUCCUGGUGCCCCGCGGCAUCCGCCUCUACACCUACGAGCAGAUCCCCGUGUCCCUCAAGGACAACCCGUACAUCACCGACGGCUACCGGGCCUACCUGCCUUCCAGGCUGUGUAUCAAAAGUUUGUUCAUUUUAUCUAAUGAGACAGUAAACAUCUGGAGUCAUUUGCUAGGUUUCUUCCUCUUCUUCACGCUGGGAAUAUAUGACAUGACAUCUGUGUUACCUUCAGCAAGUGCAUCCAGAGAAGAUUUUGUAAUUUGUUCUAUUUGUCUCUUCUGCUUCCAGGUCUGUAUGCUUUGCUCCGUGGGCUAUCAUCUCUUUUCCUGCCAUCGAUCAGAAAAAACCUGUCGAAGAUGGAUGGCAUUAGAUUAUGCAGGAAUUUCUAUUGGAAUACUGGGCUGCUAUGUCUCUGGUGUAUUUUAUGCAUUUUAUUGUAAUAAUUAUUGGCGUCAAGUGUACUUGAUCACCGUGCUUGCUAUGAUCCUGGCCGUGUUCUUUGCUCAGAUCCAUCCCAAUUACCUCACACAGCAGUGGCAGAGGCUCCGUUCUAUCAUCUUCUGUUCUGUUUCCGGGUAUGGAGUCAUCCCUACUCUCCACUGGGUGUGGCUCAAUGGAGGAAUCGGUGCUCCUAUCGUUCAGGACUUUGCACCCCGUGUAGUUGUGAUGUAUGUGAUUGCUCUUCUUGCUUUCCUGUUCUACAUUUCCAAAGUUCCAGAAAGGUAUUUUCCAGGACAACUAAACUACCUCGGAUCAAGCCACCAAAUAUGGCACAUCCUUGCAGUAGUGAUGUUAUAUUGGUGGCAUCAGUCGACAGUGUAUGUCAUGCAGUAUAGACACAGCAAACCCUGUGCUGACUAUGUUUCACAUUUGUGAAUUCAGAAUCAGGAAUGAAGCUUCAGGGAGUGUGUGUCACAUCUUUGGCAUCCCACCUGGACAGAGUAACCGAAUUGAAGAUUGGCACUGACUGGCAUAAAGCUGUACAGCUCUCCACUCGGCAGGAGUUAAUACCAAGAGUCCGUCUGAGGUCCUCUACUGUUUAGAAGGAAACGGAGCAGCACCGAAGGGGUCUAAUUCGACGGGCUGGGGCUGUUGGGGCUGAUGGGAGGUGAUGCUCUGCACCACGAGUUCUGUGAAGGGCACAGCACCAAAAUCAUCCAUUUUCAACGCCUCUGCCCCGUGGAAGGAGCCGUGCAGUGAAUUCGGCCGGGGCCUCCCGGGCAGGACCGGGUUGUGGUCGGCGCUCAGGCCCUGGUGCGGGGAGUGCCAAGGCAGGUCCGGAGGGUGGAAGGGCUUGGCCCCGAAGGGGUCCAAUAGACCCUCGUCGGCUUGCAGGACGUGCCCGCGGUCCUUCCCAUCAGUCAGGGCCACGCUGAUGUUCUCCUUGGAGUCUGAGAUGGUCAGGAACUCGUUGCUGCUCUGUGAGUCCCGGCGGCCCACCCUCCUAUGCCGGCGGGCCCGCUCGGGGGUGCGGAAGGCGGGCUUGGUCGGCUUCUUGGCGCCAGUCGGGGUGCCGUGGUGCCGCUUCCCGUUGCUCUUGGCCGUGUCCUGCUUGGUGCGCCUCUGCCGGGAGGACAGUUUCUGUAGGCUGCGCUGCUUGACUUUCUGCUGCGGACUCCCAGUUAUCUCCUCGAACGGCACCAGCCCAAAAAGGUCCUCGCCGCUGUCGCUUUUACUGGCGGACGGAGGGAAGGGCUGGAACGGCGUGGAGCCAAAGACAUCCACGCUGGGGGGGCCAGCCGGCGCGGCGGCGUGCGCAUCGCGCGCCAUCAGCUUCUUGCUGAAGGGCGCCUUGGUGAAGACAUCGAAUUCCUCCGGCUCGAGCCCCGCGGCGGGAAGCCGGCUCUGCGGAGAGAGGUCCUUCUGCUCCCCCUGUUGGGGCUGCUGAGCCCGCGCUGCGAAGAAGGGGACAGCGCCGAAGACAUCAAACUCGGGUCUGGGAGUCCCCGCUCCCACGUCCGAGGGCACCCGGGCGGACAUGAGGCGUGCUGCGCUGGGACCCUGGACCGCUCCGCCGCCGGCUGCGUCCCUGUAGCCUGGGCUCGCGGCGCUGUACUUUGUUUUGGCCUGCUCGUAGUCCGAAUCGGAGCUGUGCUUCUCCUCCUCUUCCUCAUCUUCAGAAUCCAUGAGCAGAGGCCUGUGCCCCAUGUUUUCCGGUUCAGUGUCAUCGUCAUUAAAAUCUCCUUGUUCUCCCUGGAGAACUUCCUCAUCCUCUUGCUCUUCCUCCUCGCUGCUCUUCGGAGAAGGGGGAUCGGACUCAAAAUCACUCUCAGAUUCAUCGUUCCCCUUUUGCACUUGAGCACGUACUAAUGAAUUCUCUGAGGUUUUCUUUCCAGUCCGGUGGUCUUUAGAGACUGGACUUCCUUUUGUAUUCUUGAUAGGGUUUGCAGUGCCGUUUUCUUGAUUCAUUGAGGGAUGUUCAAUUUUCUUUUCAGGAGAAUCUGCCAAUUCAAACAAAAAUUGUAUCAUCUCAAUGCAUCUCAAAAACCAUUUGCAGUAAACGUCAUGUACUAAUACAAAGCCUUACAGAUUGCUCAUAUCAGUUCCCUUAUUGCAAGACUUAUUGGCACGUCUUUGUCAUUAGGCUCUUGAGCGGUGGGGGGGGCGGGGGAGGUGAUGCACUUGGCCCCUAGUUGAUGGUGUAGGUCCUUGAAGCCCAGACCGACAAACUUGUGUUUCUACCCUACACACCACCUACUCACCACAGGUGGUCACUGACAGCUGUCUUACUUAUAGUACCCACAAUAGGACUCUGAAUAUGGUACACAAGCAAAUUUUCUUCUCCCAGCUUCAAAACAAGACUAUCCAGCCAACUGCCCUGCCAAGAUCCCCCAUUCACCUCAACCUUAUGCUUCUGUUUCGACUCUGUUAUUAAGUUUUCCUAUGGAGAUCAACAAGCAUGAAUAGCUUAUCUGCUUAGAUAUGUUUCACUGUACUAUUUAAAAUUGGCAUUCUGGGAGUUUAUUGUGAACAAGUAUCUUAUGGGCUGGGUGAACAUGAGCGCAUCCCCAUAGCCUGAUCCAAGCUGAGGACCAGUUACUGAACUGCGACGUAUCAAGGACAUCUGCCUUCCCAAGAGGACACAUCUUCCUUUAACUGUCACACUUGUACUAGUAGACCCUGUAUU